UGGGGGAUAUUGCACAAUGGGCGAAAGCCUGAUGCAGCGACGCCGCGUGGGGGAUGAAGGCCUUCGGGUUGUAAACUUCUUUUGCUCUGAACAAGGCAUGCCAAUGGGUGUGUUGAGUGUAGGGGUUGAUUAGCGCCGGCUAACUACGUGCCAGCAGCCGCGGUAAUACGUAGGGCGCGAGCGUUGUCCGGAAUUAUUGGGCGUAAAGGGCUGGUAGGUGGCUGGUUGCGUCUGUCGUGAAAGCUCAUGGCUUAACUGUGGGUUUGCGGUGGGUACGGGCUGGCUUGAGUGCAGUAGGGGAGGCUGGAAUUCCUGGUGUAGCGGUGGAAUGCGCAGAUAUCAGGAGGAAUACCGGUGGCGAAGGCGGGUCUCUGGGCUGUUACUGACACUGAGGAGCGAAAGCAUGGGGAGCGAACAGG
Molecule: ribosomal RNA, 419 nt
Filed under: Bacteroidota bacterium
Lineage: Bacteria; Pseudomonadati; Bacteroidota
Description: Bacteroidetes bacterium partial 16S ribosomal RNA
Rfam family: Bacterial small subunit ribosomal RNA
Source: RNAcentral